GAAAAUAAGGAUACACAUUUCAUUGAGAGAUAAUUGACUCCAUACUCAUACAUAGUAUAACAUAGCAGUACAAAGAAUGCUUAAUAGUUAAUAGUGACUUGAACUCCAUUCUUCUCUUCUGUUUCUUUUUCGGUCUCGCCAUUCUAGCUAGUCGUUCAAGAAGACGAAUCCAAUCGUCCCCUUGACAAGCAUUACGUAUAGCAAAAGUCAUUGUACUUGCAUAUACAACGUAACUUUAUAAAACGAUUCAUGUUAGCUAUCAUUCGUUCCCAAAUACAGGGUGGCGAUAAGCUUUGGACAAAUAAUGUCAUACGUGGUUAGUGAAUUGUUCGUUCGUUCACAAAACUUACUCUGUUAGUCCAGAGUUCCACUACACAGAUUCGUCAGCAUGACUUCCAUCCGCAUUUUCUUUGCCUAGCUUUGAUUUCGAUAGAGAUUGUUUAGAAGACGAGGGCUGCAAGUUAAGGUAAGUGUAGAAAGACAUACCAACAAGAGCCGUAAUGGCUCCUAGUAUGCUAAUUGGACCCGGAUUUGAACCAAAGAUGAGAAAACCUCCGAGUAGAAUGACACACGUUUUAAAUUGGCCGAGUACCACAUGAGUUGUUGCAGAUGUUGCCCCAAGUGCGAGAGCACCUGACCACUGAAGCAAGAAACCAAGAAUAGCCGAGGCACCAAUGAUUGUCGAGUUGUAAAAGUUCCAACUAAAUGAAAGGACACCGGGAGGAUCAAGAUAUGGCAUCAACACCACCAGAAAGAAUAAUGUAAUCGGUGUGGUUUUCCACAUCAGCGCCAGGGCAGUCCAAUUCUCCUGCUGCUGGAGAUUGGACCAUAGUAUUUUAUUAACUGCACUUGGUACUAUCCAUGCUACUGCAAUGCAAGCACCGAAGAAAUGAAACUGCAAAUCUGUUACCGUAGCAACAGCAACACCUACUGAUACAACAGUGAGUGCAAGCACCUUUAGGAAAGAAAUUUUCUUCCGAAAGAGAACAAAUUCAGCUAAAA
RNAcentral lists this unclassified non-coding RNA (1002 nucleotides) under Hevea brasiliensis (rubber tree). Lineage: Eukaryota; Viridiplantae; Streptophyta; Magnoliopsida; Malpighiales; Euphorbiaceae. The record is from RNAcentral.